ACCUGUGUUAUUCUGCCACCGCUACACCUGCACAAUUAUCUUUGCUCUCCGAGGUUAUAGCUAAAUAUUCCGCCCUAAGAGAAUGGGAAGCAGGGAAAGAAAGGCAGAAGGAAGAGAAAAGCGCUUCUUCUCCCGCUGCUGCGAUCUUCCUGUAACAGUAGACCAUCUCCACCACCAGCCAUAACUGCAGCCCGAUGAUUGACACAUACAUCAUGAUCUCAGAUAAGAUGGACGCCAUACCUCGUGUAGCUAGGGGUUUCAGCACUCAGAGUCAGUAUACAGACACAUCAGCAGUGACAUCAGUGCUGAUGUAGGCCUGACUCAGACUCUGACAGGAAGUAAAGACACGUCAGCAUAUGUGACAUGAGAUGUUCUCAGCAGAAGAGUCAAACCGAAAAUGUAGUCCCUCAGAAGUUGAUUUUGAGUGUGGCUUCCAACAAAAAUUACAAUUUGAUCAUUUGGCCAUUCAUUUUGCAUUGUAUUAAAGGGGAGAAGUGUUUGUCAAAAAUACUCUACACUUUCUUUUCCCUCAUAAACUAUAAAAGGAGAUUUUGCCUUGUGAUCACUGGCUGCCAAAAUGUUUAAUAUUGUACAUUAGUUUGGGAUUUUACCCUAUAGAAGCCUGUUUUUACCUCAGAGUCAAAAAUAUAACAGGUACUCGGGGGAUGAAGCUUACAGUAGGAAAUAAAGUCCUAAUUGUGAGAUAUAACAUUAUUACAAGAGAAAUCAAAGACACAACAACCGUUUUAUUUUUAUUUGUGGAAAUAGGCUUCCAUAGAUCCUGGUUUCCUUACACUACCAUUGUUAUUUUAGUAAUAUUUAUAUAUAGUUAUUUAUAUAUAUAUAUAUAUUUUUUUUUUUUUAAAUUAA
Long non-coding RNA from Megalobrama amblycephala (Wuchang bream), 870 nucleotides. RefSeq lists it as uncharacterized. NCBI's taxonomy places the organism in Eukaryota, Metazoa, Chordata, Actinopteri, Cypriniformes, Xenocyprididae. The transcript has 3 exons. The record is from RefSeq and is a predicted model, not a curated record.